UACGAAGGGGGCUAGCGUUGCUCGGAAUGACUGGGCGUAAAGGGCGCGUAGGCGGUCUGUCACGUCGGGAGUGAAAACUCGGGGCUUAACUCCGGGCCUGCAGUGGGUACGGGCAGACUAGAGUGCGGUAGGGGAGACUGGAAUUCCUGGUGUAGGGGUGAAAUUCGUUGAUAUCAGGAGGAACACCGGCGGCGAACGGCGGCCCCCUGGCCGCAACUGACGCUCAUGGUCGAAAGCGUGGGGAGCAAACAGG
This 253-nucleotide ribosomal RNA is filed under the name uncultured bacterium. RNAcentral describes it as "partial 16S ribosomal RNA". It matches the Rfam family "Bacterial small subunit ribosomal RNA", at positions 524 to 776 of the family's 1533-position model. The record is from RNAcentral.